Molecule: ribosomal RNA, 464 nt
Filed under: uncultured bacterium
Lineage: Bacteria
Description: partial 16S ribosomal RNA
Rfam family: Bacterial small subunit ribosomal RNA
Source: RNAcentral
CCUACGGGUGGCAGCAGUAGGGAAUCUUCCACAAUGGGCGCAAGCCUGAUGGAGCAACACCGCGUGAGUGAAGAAGGGUUUCGGCUCGUAAAGCUCUGUUGUUGGAGAAGAACGUGCGUGAGAGUAACUGUUCACGCAGUGACGGUAUCCAACCAGAAAGUCACGGCUAACUACGUGCCAGCAGCCGCGGUAAUACGUAGGUGGCAAGCAUUAUCCGGAUUUAUUGGGCGUAAAGGGAGCGCAGGCGGUUGCUUAGGUCUGAGGGGAAAGCCUUCGGCUUAAACAAGAAGUGCCGCGGAAACCGGGCGACGUGAGUGCAGAAGAGGACAGUGGAACUCGAUGUGUAGCGGUGGAAGGCGUAGAUAUAUGGAAGAACACCGGUGGCGAAGGCGGCGGUCUGGUCUGCAACUGACGCUGAGGCUCGAAAGCAUGGGUAGCGAACAGGAUUAGAUACCCUAGUAGUC